RNAcentral lists this ribosomal RNA (1389 nucleotides) under uncultured Bolidomonas. Its description in RNAcentral is "partial Bacterial large subunit ribosomal RNA". It matches the Rfam family "Bacterial large subunit ribosomal RNA", at positions 12 to 1448 of the family's 2925-position model. Lineage: Eukaryota; Bolidophyceae. The record is from RNAcentral.
UAAGCGCAUACGGUGGAUGCCUUGGCAGUCAGAGGCGAUGAAAGACGUGGAAGCCUGCGAUAAGGCUCGGGGAGCUGGCAAACAAGCUGUGAUCCGGGCAUCUCUGAAUGGGGAAACCCACCGGUCUUCGGACCGGUACCGUACGGUGAAUACAUAGCCGUACGGGGCGAACUCGGGGAACUGAAACAUCUAAGUACCCGAAGGAAAAGAAAUCAACCGAGAUUCCCUCAGUAGCGGCGAGCGAACGGGGACCAGCCCUUAAGCUGGACAACUGGUAGGAGAAGGCCCUGGAAAGAGCCGCCAUAGUGGGUGAUAGCCCCGUAUCCGAAACCUGAGUCCAGUGAAAUCGAGUAGGACGGGACACGAGACAUCCUGUCUGAACAUGGGGGGACCACCCUCCAAGCCUAAGUACUCCUUAACGACCGAUAGUGUACCAGUACCGUGAGGGAAAGGUGAAAAGCACCCCGAUGAGGGGAGUGAAAUAGACCUGAAACCGGAUGCCUACAAGCAGUAGGAGCCUCCAUUGUGAGGUGACUGCGUACCUUUUGUAUAAUGGGUCAGCGACUUAUGUUCAGUGGCGAGGUUAACCGUUUAGGGGAGCCGUAGGGAAACCGAGUCUGAAUAGGGCGAUUUAGUCGCUGGGCAUAGACCCGAAACCGGGCGAUCUAUCCAUGAGCAGGUUGAAGGUUGAGUAACAUCAACUGGAGGACCGAACCCACUGUCUUUGAAAAGCCAGGGGAUGACUUGUGGAUCGGAGUGAAAGGCUAAUCAAGCCCGGAGAUAGCUGGUUCUCCCCGAAAGCUAUUUAGGUAGCGCCUCGGACGAAUACCACAGGGGGUAGAGCACUGUUUCGGCUAGGGGGUCAUCCCGACUUACCAACCCGAUGCAAACUCCGAAUACCUGUGAGUACUAUCCGGGAGACACACGGUGGGUGCUAACGUCCAUCGUGAAGAGGGAAACAACCCAGACCGCCAGCUAAGGUCCCCAAAUACCAGUUAAGUGGGAAACGAUGUGGGAAGGCUCAGACAGCUAGGAGGUUGGCUUAGAAGCAGCCAUCCUUUAAAGAAAGCGUAACAGCUCACUGGUCUAAAUAAGCUGUCCCGCGCCGAAGAUGUACCGGGGCUCAAGCCACACACCGAAACUGCGGACUUGUUCUUUGAACAAGUGGUAGCGGAGCGUUCCGUAAGCCUGUGAAGGUGUGCCGUAAGGCAUGCUGGAGGUAUCGGAAGCGAGAAUGCUGACAUGAGUAGCGAUAAAGGGAGUGAGAACCUCCCUCGCCGAAAGCCCAAGGGUUCCUGCGCAAGGCCAAUCCGCGCAGGGUGAGUCGGCCCCUAAGACGAGGCAGAAAUGCGUAGUCGAUGGGAAACAGGUUAAUAUUCCUGUACCCGU